Molecule: ribosomal RNA, 497 nt
Filed under: uncultured bacterium
Lineage: Bacteria
Description: partial 16S ribosomal RNA
Rfam family: Bacterial small subunit ribosomal RNA
Source: RNAcentral
GAUGAACGCUGGCGGCGUGCCUAAUACAUGCAAGUCGAGCGAACAGACGAGGAGCUUGCUCCUCUGACGUUAGCGGCGGACGGGUGAGUAACACGUGGAUAACCUACCUAUAAGACUGGGAUAACUUCGGGAAACCGGAGCUAAUACCGGAUAAUAUAUUGAACCGCAUGGUUCAAUAGUGAAAGACGGUUUUGCUGUCACUUAUAGCUGGAUCCGCUCCGCAUUAGCUAGUUGGUAAGGUAACGGCUUACCAAGGCAACGAUGCGUAGCCGACCUGAGAGGGUGAGCGGCCACACUGGAACUGAGACACGGUCCAGACUCCUACGGGAGGCAGCAGUAGGGAAUCUUCCGCAAUAGGCGAAAGCCUGACGGAGCAACGCCGCGUGAGUGAUGAAGGUCUUCGGAUCGUAAAGCUCUGUUAUUAGGGAAGAACAAAUGUGUAAGUAACUAUGCACGUCUUGACGGUACCUAAUCAGAAAGCCACGGCUAACUACGUG